Molecule: ribosomal RNA, 253 nt
Filed under: uncultured bacterium
Lineage: Bacteria
Description: partial 16S ribosomal RNA
Rfam family: Bacterial small subunit ribosomal RNA
Source: RNAcentral
UACGGAGGGGGCAAGCGUUAUCCGGAUUCACUGGGUUUAAAGGGUGCGUAGGCGGAUCGGUAAGUCCGGGGUGAAAUCCCCGAGCUUAACUCGGGAACUGCCGUGGAUACUAUCGAUCUUGAAUACUGUGGAGGUAAGCGGAAUAUGUCAUGUAGCGGUGAAAUGCUUAGAUAUGACAUAGAACACCGAUAGCGAAGGCAGCUUGCUACACAGUUAUUGACAUUGAGACGCGAAAGCGUGGGGAGCAAACAGG